Molecule: ribosomal RNA, 250 nt
Filed under: uncultured bacterium
Lineage: Bacteria
Description: partial small subunit ribosomal RNA
Rfam family: Bacterial small subunit ribosomal RNA
Source: RNAcentral
AGAAUCAACGCUGGCGGCGUGCCUAACACAUGCAAGUCGAACGAGAAAGGGGUAGCAAUACCCCGAGUAAAGUGGCGCACGGGUGAGUAACACGUGACUAACCUACCCUUGAGUGGGGGAUAACUGAGGGAAACCUUAGCUAAUACCGCAUAAUACCCACGGGUCAAAGGAGCAAUUCGCUCGAGGAGGGGGUCGCGGCCGAUUAGUUAGUUGGCGGGGUAAUGGCCCACCAAGACGAUGAUCGGUAUCC